UGAGGAAUAUUGGUCAAUGGGUGCAAGCCUGAACCUGCCAUCCCGCGUGAAGGACGACUGCCCUAUGGGUUGUAAACUUCUUUUGUAUAGGGAUAAACCUACCCUCGUGAGGGUAGCUGAAGGUACUAUACGAAUAAGCACCGGCUAACUCCGUGCCAGCAGCCGCGGUAAUACGGAGGGUGCAAGCGUUAUCCGGAUUUAUUGGGUUUAAAGGGUCCGUAGGCGGACUUAUAAGUCAGUGGUGAAAGCCUGUCGCUUAACGAUAGAACUGCCAUUGAUACUGUAAGUCUUGAGUAUAUUUGAGGUAGCUGGAAUAAGUAGUGUAGCGGUGAAAUGCAUAGAUAUUACUUAGAACACCAAUUGCGAAGGCAGGUUACCAAGAUAUAACUGACGCUGAGGGACGAAAGCGUGGGGAGCGAACA
Molecule: ribosomal RNA, 422 nt
Filed under: uncultured bacterium
Lineage: Bacteria
Description: bacterial SSU rRNA
Rfam family: Bacterial small subunit ribosomal RNA
Source: RNAcentral